AGGUAGAGGGGUUUUAGUCGGUAGGUCCGAGGACUUGCUCUUCGGAAAUCCGACACUACCCAGUCGUACGGACAGCUGGGUGUCUUUUGAAGAUUUCCCCUCUUCC
Molecule: non-coding RNA, 106 nt
Organism: Agrilus planipennis (emerald ash borer)
Lineage: Eukaryota; Metazoa; Arthropoda; Insecta; Coleoptera; Buprestidae
Source: Rfam